GAUGAACGCUGGCGGCGUGCCUAAUACAUGCAAGUCGAGCGGACGGACGAGAAGCUUGCUUCUCUGAUGUUAGCGGCGGGCGGGUGAGUAACGCGUGGAUAACCUACCUAUAAGACUGGGAUAACUUCGGAACACCGGCGCUAAUACGGGAGAAUAUUUUGAACCGCAUGGUUCAAAAGAGAGAGACGGUCUUGCUGUCAGUUAUCGAGGGAUACGCGCUGGAUUAGCUAGUUGGUAAGGUAACGGCUUACCAAGGCAACGAUGCAUAACCGACCUGAGAGAGGGAUCGGCGACACUGGAACUUAGACACGCUCCAGACUCCUGCGAGAGGCACCAGUAGCGAAUCUUACGCAAUGGGCGAAAGCCUGACGGAGCAACGCCACGCGAGUGAUGAAGGUCUUCGGAUCGUAAUACUCUGUUAUUAGUUAAGAACAUAUGUGUAAGUUACUGUGCACAGCUUGACGGUACCUAAUCAGAAAGCCACGGCUAACUACGUG
RNAcentral lists this ribosomal RNA (497 nucleotides) under uncultured bacterium. Its description in RNAcentral is "partial 16S ribosomal RNA". It matches the Rfam family "Bacterial small subunit ribosomal RNA", at positions 28 to 507 of the family's 1533-position model. The record is from RNAcentral.